UCAAAAAGUAAUCCCAAACAAAAUUUAUGCUGGGAAGAAAGUAAACUGAAAAUUUAUCUGAAAAAAUGAGCUCCAACGGAGAAGAUUACGAAAGAAUCUCGGGCUUGGCGAAGCCUCUUGUGGAAUGAUAAACAGAGCUUAUCAAAUGAUCACAGUGUGAUAAAAGUACAACCAGAGACUAGCCGUAGGCCCUUCUUUAUAGAAGCUGUGUGUCCCAGAAAGACAACAUUACCAAGCAUGCCUGUGAUAAGGAAUUUUAAGCACUCAAAGCAUUUAUAGGACAAGCAGCAAGAAAAUUAAAGUGUAAAGACUUGAAAAGAGAGAACAACUGCACCUAUUGCAGAAAAGUUCAGAAACAGAAGAUGUCACAGGGACCCACUCACUUUUUGUCUAGGAAAAAAAUGUCGGAAGGAGACAUUUACGCUUGUGGAAACUUUAAAGGAAUGAAUUGGAAGUCCCUGUGCUCAUUUUGAAUGCUACCAUUUUUAUAGUUUUUCUAUUUGUUUUG
Molecule: non-coding RNA, 508 nt
Organism: Pocillopora verrucosa
Lineage: Eukaryota; Metazoa; Cnidaria; Anthozoa; Scleractinia; Pocilloporidae
Source: RefSeq, a predicted model, not a curated record